AUUGAACGCUGGCGGCAGGCCUAACACAUGCAAGUCGAGCGGAUGAAGGGAGCUUGCUCCUGGAUUCAGCGGCGGACGGGUGAGUAAUGCCUAGGAAUCUGCCUGGUAGUGGGGGAUAACGUCCGGAAACGGGCGCUAAUACCGCAUACGUCCUGAGGGAGAAAGUGGGGGAUCUUCGGACCUCACGCUAUCAGAUGAGCCUAGGUCGGAUUAGCUAGUUGGUGGGGUAAAGGCCUACCAAGCCGACGAUCCGUAACUGGUCUGAGAGGAUGAUCAGUCACACUGGAACUGAGACACGGUCCAGACUCCUACGGGAGGCAGCAGUGGGGAAUAGUGGACAAUGGGCGAAAGCCUGAUCCAGCCAUGCCGCGUGUGUGAAGAAGGUCUUCGGAUUGUAAAGCACUUUAAGUUGGGAGGAAGGGCAGUAAGUUAAUACCUUGCUGUUUUGACGUUACCAACAGAAUAAGCACCGGCUAACUUCGUG
This 484-nucleotide ribosomal RNA is filed under the name uncultured bacterium. RNAcentral describes it as "partial 16S ribosomal RNA". It matches the Rfam family "Bacterial small subunit ribosomal RNA", at positions 30 to 507 of the family's 1533-position model. The record is from RNAcentral.